Molecule: long non-coding RNA, 1205 nt
Organism: Felis catus (domestic cat)
Lineage: Eukaryota; Metazoa; Chordata; Mammalia; Carnivora; Felidae
Exons: 9
Source: RefSeq, a predicted model, not a curated record
GUUUUCAGGUAGUAAGAAUUCCUCAACUGCCAGCAGUAAAAAUGACGUGUUCUUUCUGAAGUAGUUUCAAACCAAAGGAGAUUCAAAUACCUGCAAAAGCACAGUGUAAAGGUACCUACCACAUGUAAAUUUAGAUGAAAGACCACAUCUCAUAAGAGCACUGGAAUAAUACGCAUCUCGAGAAGCUGAGUAUCUUGCAGCUGGAAGAGAUGGCAUUUCAAAUGCAAACAAUUUUCCAGGCCCUGGGAAAGUUAUGAAAAACUGACAAGAUGGCAAGAUGGUCCAGAAGCUCUCCAUAUCACAUCCUCUUGGGUGGCAAGGAGACAAUAUUUCUUACUGAUAAUUCCUGCUCAAAUCUGGGAAUCCUUUCUGAUAGAAACAACUCUGCAGGAUUCAGUGCUCUGAUUAACCAGGCCUGGUUGGGAAGUACAGCUGGGCAGAGACUGAUGUACAAGGAGCCUUCCGUACUCCCAUCAGAAAUCAAGGUCAAACAAGUGUUUAUGGCGAUUUCACCUUUCAACUACUGUUCAGCAGUAAUUCAAUCAGCAUUCUGUUUAGCAGAUUUCCUGGACAAUGGUCUUUUUUUGGCUAAUUGGCUGAAUAACAUCAUUGACACAAGUGAACUGUUAUUUAAGACCUUGAAGAAUUCCUUAUAUUUCGGGGUCAACACCAAAGCUCAAAACAUAACCUCGUCCUGAGAUCCUCUUUGGGUAUGAGUGAGAUCAGUUUGUCUUCACCAAAUCACUUUUCGGUGCCAAGUUACCCACUGAGACAGCAGAGUUAAGACUGACAUAUUGGACGGGGCUCUUGAAGUUUUCCAACAGAAGUCAAUUUUUUUGUUUGUUUGCUUCGAAAGCAGAAGCGGAUGUGUUUUGCAAACAUUUGACUCAUUCCUCACACAAACCUCAGUAUUGAUGUCCUCACUCCACAUAAUGUGCAGCCAUGAGGAGAUGAGAGGUGGGAGAGUCAAGAUGAAUGCUUUAUUAAUGACGGUCUCUGCUUAAGUUCAAGAAACAAUCACUAGUAAAUAUUGAUUCAGUUAGUGUCUGCUACGUACUAAGUACUGGAGAUAUAACAAGGUUAUCAUCUCUUGAUGAAGAUUACAUUCUAGUGGAGAAGACAGUCAUUGAACAACCACAGCAACAAAAAGUUAGCAAGAAAGGAACUGUACUAAAUUCCAUGAAUGAAAUAGAUGGAGAUCUUUA